UUGAACGCUGGCGGCAUGCCUAACACAUGCAAGUCGAACGGGGUGUAGCAAUACAUCUAGUGGCGGACGGGUGAGGAAUACAUAGGAAUUUGCCCUUAAGUGGGGGAUAGUCCGGGGAAACUCGGUUUAAUACCGCAUGAUCUCGUGAGAGCAAAGCAGGGGACCGCAAGGCCUUGCGCUUUUGGAGAAGCCUAUGUCGGAUUAGCAGUUGGUAGGGUAAUGGCCUACCAAGGCGACGAUCCGUAACUGGUCUGAGAGGAUGAUCAGUCACACCGGAACUGAGACACGGUCCGGACUCCUACGGGAGGCAGCAGUGGGGAAUAUUGGACAAUGGGCGCAAGCCUGAUCCAGCAAUGCCGCGUGUGUGAAGAAGG
Molecule: ribosomal RNA, 374 nt
Filed under: uncultured bacterium
Lineage: Bacteria
Description: bacterial SSU rRNA
Rfam family: Bacterial small subunit ribosomal RNA
Source: RNAcentral